UACGUAGGGUGCGAGCGUUAAUCGGAAUUACUGGGCGUAAAGUGUGCGCAGGCGGCGUCGCAAGUCGAGUGUGAAAUCCCCGGGCUCAACCUGGGAAUUGCGAUGGAGACUGCAAGGCUAGAAUCUGGCAGAGGGGGGUAGAAUUCCACGUGUAGCAGUGAAAUGCGUAGAGAUGUGGAGGAACACCGAUGGCGAAGGCAGCCCCCUGGGUCAAGAUUGACGCUCAUGCACGAAAGCGUGGGGAGCAAACAGG
Molecule: ribosomal RNA, 253 nt
Filed under: uncultured bacterium
Lineage: Bacteria
Description: partial 16S ribosomal RNA
Rfam family: Bacterial small subunit ribosomal RNA
Source: RNAcentral